GGACUGCAGUCUGCAACCCGACUGCACGAAGCCGGAAUCGCUAGUAAUCGCGGAUCAGAAUGCCGCGGUGAAUACGUUCCCGGGCCUUGUACACACCGCCCGUCACACCAUGAGAGUUGGGGAUACCCGAAGCCUGUGAGCCAACUGUAAAGAGGCAGCAGUCGAAGGUAGAAUCAAUGAUUGGGGUGAAGUCGUAACAAGGUAUC
Molecule: ribosomal RNA, 206 nt
Filed under: uncultured bacterium
Lineage: Bacteria
Description: partial 16S ribosomal RNA
Rfam family: Bacterial small subunit ribosomal RNA
Source: RNAcentral